Molecule: transfer RNA, 73 nt
Filed under: Planctomycetes bacterium RBG_16_43_13
Lineage: Bacteria; Pseudomonadati; Planctomycetota
Description: tRNA-Ala
Rfam family: tRNA
About the family: Transfer RNA (tRNA) molecules are approximately 80 nucleotides in length. Their secondary structure includes four short double-helical elements and three loops (D, anti-codon, and T loops). Further hydrogen bonds mediate the characteristic L-shaped molecular structure. tRNAs have two regions of fundamental functional importance: the anti-codon, which is responsible for specific mRNA codon recognition, and the 3' end, to which the tRNAs corresponding amino acid is attached (by aminoacyl-tRNA synthetases). tRNAs cope with the degeneracy of the genetic code in two manners: having more than one tRNA (with a specific anti-codon) for a particular amino acid; and 'wobble' base-pairing, i.e. permitting non-standard base-pairing at the 3rd anti-codon position.
Source: RNAcentral
GGGGGCGUAGCUCAGCUGGGAGAGCGCGUGAAUGGCAUUCACGAGGUUGAGGGUUCGACUCCCUUCGCCUCCA